AAUGCCCGGGAGCAAUGCUCUCCCAAAUGCUUUUUGCUGAUUUCUGAGACCUUAGUAAGAUUUCCAUGAAAUGAAGUUUCCUGGGCCAAAUGGACUUUAAGGUGGAAGACACUCUUCAAAAAACUACUCUGGAUAGAGGAUGAGACCUCCAGUGACAGGCCUGAAACGGAAAACUUGAUCGCUGUGCUGAAUCAUGUGAGAUAAGUGGAAGACUUCAUUUAGGUACUGUGGGCUGCAGGAGCUUGG
Molecule: long non-coding RNA, 246 nt
Filed under: Cavia porcellus (domestic guinea pig)
Lineage: Eukaryota; Metazoa; Chordata; Mammalia; Rodentia; Caviidae
Description: lncRNA (ENSCPOG00000039713.1)
Source: RNAcentral